AAACCUAGAUUUUGCUAGUCCUCAAGAAAAAUAAAAAAACAAAAAAUGAAACAAAUAAAAUCCUACAUACAACUAAGCCACUUUUGUAGGGAACACGAUAGUAUUUAGCGUAUACUACAAGCCUUUAAACCUCUAGGUGUCCCUAAUAAGAGGAGUUUUGUGACACCCCCAAAAUAGGUAUACAUCACCCAUUCUGAGUCGUCAAAUACAUGGUAUAAAAAC
Molecule: long non-coding RNA, 222 nt
Filed under: Panax ginseng (ginseng)
Lineage: Eukaryota; Viridiplantae; Streptophyta; Magnoliopsida; Apiales; Araliaceae
Description: long non-coding RNA (PGIN_LNC016141)
Source: RNAcentral